Long non-coding RNA from Lycium ferocissimum, 466 nucleotides. RefSeq lists it as uncharacterized. The transcript is spliced from 2 exons. NCBI's taxonomy places the organism in Eukaryota, Viridiplantae, Streptophyta, Magnoliopsida, Solanales, Solanaceae. The record is from RefSeq and is a predicted model, not a curated record.
UGUAUUUUCAGAUCAUCUAAACCUCACUCCUCCUCUUUCCUUCUUCUAAUCCUAGUUCCUCAACCACCGUUCAACAAUUUUAUUUCGACACCGUCAUCUCCGAUUUUCGACAAUGAACUCAUCACCAGUCCCUCCUUGUUGUCGUCAUCAUCACCUCUAUUAGAAAUAUGUAAGCCAUGAAUUCAUCUCUAAGUCAACAACAACAGUCACAUAUGUCACUUCAAGACCUCAAAAUUGUGGAAAUGAUUGUUCCCACUUCACUGCUGCUUAAUUGCUAGAUCUGCAAUGAUUUUAAGUUCCAAAUCUGGUUGUUGUCAUCACCUCGACCACCGUCACGGGUGUCAACUAGAUUGGCUAACCUUGCUCACUGUGCUUUGUUUCUUGUAUUUCUCAGAUAUGGCCGGAUCUGAGUGUAUACUGAAUUUUUUAAUGCAAAUACAAUAUAUUUUUUGUAUUUUCACCUGUA